RNAcentral lists this ribosomal RNA (2932 nucleotides) under Enterobacter cloacae. Its description in RNAcentral is "bacterial LSU rRNA". It matches the Rfam family "Bacterial large subunit ribosomal RNA". The record is from RNAcentral. Lineage: Bacteria; Pseudomonadati; Pseudomonadota; Gammaproteobacteria; Enterobacterales; Enterobacteriaceae.
GGGUUGUGAGGUUAAGCGACUAAGCGUACACGGUGGAUGCCCUGGCAGUCAGAGGCGAUGAAGGACGUGCUAAUCUGCGAAAAGCGCCGGCGAGGUGAUAUGAACCUUUGACCCGGCGAUGUCCGAAUGGGGAAACCCAGUGUGUUCCGACACACUAUCGUUAACUGAAUACAUAGGUUAACGAGGCGAACCGGGGGAACUGAAACAUCUAAGUACCCCGAGGAAAAGAAAUCAACCGAGAUUCCCCCAGUAGCGGCGAGCGAACGGGGAGCAGCCCAGAGUCUGAAUCAGCUUGUGUGUUAGUGGAAGCGUCUGGAAAGUCGCACGGUACAGGGUGACAGUCCCGUACACGAAAGCACACAGGUUGUGAACUCGAAGAGUAGGGCGGGACACGUGGUAUCCUGUCUGAAUAUGGGGGGACCAUCCUCCAAGGCUAAAUACUCCUGACUGACCGAUAGUGAACCAGUACCGUGAGGGAAAGGCGAAAAGAACCCCGGCGAGGGGAGUGAAAAAGAACCUGAAACCGUGUACGUAUAAGCAGUGGGAGCACCUUCGUGGUGUGACUGCGUACCUUUUGUAUAAUGGGUCAGCGACUUAUAUUCUGUAGCAAGGUUAACCGUAUAGGGGAGCCGAAGGGAAACCGAGUCUUAACUGGGCGUUAAGUUGCAGGGUAUAGACCCGAAACCCGGUGAUCUAGCCAUGGGCAGGUUGAAGGUUGGGUAACACUAACUGGAGGACCGAACCGACUAAUGUUGAAAAAUUAGCGGAUGACUUGUGGCUGGGGGUGAAAGGCCAAUCAAACCGGGAGAUAGCUGGUUCUCCCCGAAAGCUAUUUAGGUAGCGCCUCGUGAACUCAUCUUCGGGGGUAGAGCACUGUUUCGGCUAGGGGGCCAUCCCGGCUUACCAACCCGAUGCAAACUACGAAUACCGAAGAAUGUUAUCACGGGAGACACACGGCGGGUGCUAACGUCCGUCGUGAAGAGGGAAACAACCCAGACCGCCAGCUAAGGUCCCAAAGUCAUGGUUAAGUGGGAAACGAUGUGGGAAGGCACAGACAGCCAGGAUGUUGGCUUAGAAGCAGCCAUCAUUUAAAGAAAGCGUAAUAGCUCACUGGUCGAGUCGGCCUGCGCGGAAGAUGUAACGGGGCUAAACCAUGCACCGAAGCUGCGGCAGCGACGCUUAUGCGUUGUUGGGUAGGGGAGCGUUCUGUAAGCCGUUGAAGGUGGCCUGUGAGGGUUGCUGGAGGUAUCAGAAGUGCGAAUGCUGACAUAAGUAACGAUAAAGCGGGUGAAAAGCCCGCUCGCCGGAAGACCAAGGGUUCCUGUCCAACGUUAAUCGGGGCAGGGUGAGUCGACCCCUAAGGCGAGGCCGAAAGGCGUAGUCGAUGGGAAACAGGUUAAUAUUCCUGUACUUGGUGUUACUGCGAAGGGGGGACGGAGAAGGCUAUGUUAGCCGGGCGACGGUUGUCCCGGUUUAAGCAUGUAGGCGGAGGUUCCAGGUAAAUCCGGUACCUUUUAACGCUGAGGUGUGAUGACGAGGCACUACGGUGCUGAAGUAACAAAUGCCCUGCUUCCAGGAAAAGCCUCUAAGCAUCAGGUAACAUCAAAUCGUACCCCAAACCGACACAGGUGGUCAGGUAGAGAAUACCAAGGCGCUUGAGAGAACUCGGGUGAAGGAACUAGGCAAAAUGGUGCCGUAACUUCGGGAGAAGGCACGCUGAUAUGUAGGUGAAGCCCCUGCGGGUGGAGCUGAAAUCAGUCGAAGAUACCAGCUGGCUGCAACUGUUUAUUAAAAACACAGCACUGUGCAAACACGAAAGUGGACGUAUACGGUGUGACGCCUGCCCGGUGCCGGAAGGUUAAUUGAUGGGGUUAGCGGCAACGCGAAGCUCUUGAUCGAAGCCCCGGUAAACGGCGGCCGUAACUAUAACGGUCCUAAGGUAGCGAAAUUCCUUGUCGGGUAAGUUCCGACCUGCACGAAUGGCGUAAUGAUGGCCAGGCUGUCUCCACCCGAGACUCAGUGAAAUUGAACUCGCUGUGAAGAUGCAGUGUACCCGCGGCAAGACGGAAAGACCCCGUGAACCUUUACUAUAGCUUGACACUGAACACUGGUCCUUGAUGUGUAGGAUAGGUGGGAGGCUUUGAAGUGUGGACGCCAGUCUGCAUGGAGCCGUCCUUGAAAUACCACCCUUUAAUGGCUGGUGUUCUAACGUAGACCCGUGAUCCGGGUUGCGGACAGUGUCUGGUGGGUAGUUUGACUGGGGCGGUCUCCUCCCAAAGAGUAACGGAGGAGCACGAAGGUUAGCUAAUCCUGGUCGGACAUCAGGAGGUUAGUGCAAUGGCAUAAGCUAGCUUGACUGCGAGAGUGACGGCUCGAGCAGGUGCGAAAGCAGGUCAUAGUGAUCCGGUGGUUCUGAAUGGAAGGGCCAUCGCUCAACGGAUAAAAGGUACUCCGGGGAUAACAGGCUGAUACCGCCCAAGAGUUCAUAUCGACGGCGGUGUUUGGCACCUCGAUGUCGGCUCAUCACAUCCUGGGGCUGAAGUAGGUCCCAAGGGUAUGGCUGUUCGCCAUUUAAAGUGGUACGCGAGCUGGGUUUAGAACGUCGUGAGACAGUUCGGUCCCUAUCUGCCGUGGGCGCUGGAGAAUUGAGGGGGGCUGCUCCUAGUACGAGAGGACCGGAGUGGACGCAUCACUGGUGUUCGGGUUGUCAUGCCAAUGGCACUGCCCGGUAGCUAAAUGCGGAAAAGAUAAGUGCUGAAAGCAUCUAAGCACGAAACUUGCCCCGAGAUGAGUUCUCCCUGAGACUUUAAGUCUCCUGAAGGAACGUUGAAGACGACGACGUUGAUAGGUCGGGUGUGUAAGCGCAGCGAUGCGUUGAGCUAACCGAUACUAAUGAACCGUGAGGCUUAACCUUACAACGCCGAAGGUGUUU